ACUGACGCUUCCCGCGAAUUUUAUCCAGGCAGGAUGAGCGCUAGAGGAGACAGACCAGCUCAGCUCCCGCGAGGGCGAGAUGGGCAGAGGAAAGAAGAGGUGGGACUGAUCAACUGGGGGGCGGGGGGAAAGAUGCUGGCUUUACUGAGCUGCGAAAAGGAGAUAUUGUAUAGUCAUUCUACGCCUUUUUCGAGGACGUGGCUGGAUCGCAGGGACUGCGGGAAACGAUGAGAUACAUCGUUAGAACGGAACGAGAAAAUCACGCGCACACCUGCAGGGAAUUUAAAAGCCAACAUCUUCGUCAGUUCUAAAAGGUGGAGGAACUGGAGCCGCUCGUCAUUCGGCGGUUUGUCAGAAUGCAGCGUUGACUCAUCGUGGCCUAAAGCUGAAGCGGGCUGAGUGCGUGCAUGUUUCGAUUCAAUUAUUUAAAAAAAACGCUUAUUAUACACUUGUUAAUAGACACAAGACUGGGACUUACGGUCGUUUUUUUAUUUUUUAAACACCUAUCGCCAUACUUCUGUUAAGGAUAGAAAAAAUGUUUAUUUUUUAUUAUACUGUUUGGAGCUUAAAAAGAUCUUAGCCGUUGGACUUCUAGCUGUUUAAGACAGUGUAAAGGGGGAUGUAUUUUUACGAAGGUAGGAAAAAUGUCUGCACGUGUAUGGAUAAAAACGAGCGGGUGUCGCGCGCCUGACUGCGGCCCCUUAGGAUGCACGUGCCCAAGACGUACGAGAUACUGCUCAAAAUUGAUUUAGGAGCGUCAGAACUCAUAGGCAACAGGUAUAAAACAACAACCUACAACAGAAAUGAACUCCAUUGUGUUGGUGAACAGUUGUAACAACCCUGCUGAAGAUGGGCAUUCAGGUGCUUUGAGGCAGAUGUGCAAACCUCAACAUGGAAGAUAAAAUCAUGACUCUGGUUUGAACUUGUCACUGUGUCCUUGCAUAGAAGCUUCACUAACUGCUAUGCCUAUGCACAAAUCACUCCUGCUUUGAACCUUACCCCUCAAAAGCUCAAAUAAGCUGUGCGUUGUGAAUACAUGAUUGGUUUGGUCCAGAAAGAGGACUGGCAGUUACUGUAAUAGAACACUCAUUAUGGUGCUUAGGCGAAUUCAAUGUUACGUGGCUGGCAUUACAUACACACCCACACUCACUCAUAGAAUUGGCAAAUAACCUAGCCUGUGUGUGUAGGAAAACUGGAGUACUUGGAGGACAUCCUACACAUGCAAAUAACACAUGGACCACAAUCAUGAAGCAGUAGCACUGCCUAUUUUGCUGUGUUGCUGUCUGGUGCUCACUGUAUUUUCUUCAUAGCUGUUGUAUAGAUUUAAAUUCGCUCAACAGAUUGGAUGACAUCAAGGCAAUAAUUCAAGUUUGAUUUGAUUUGCUGUGUAAGUGUUUAUUUGAAUGACCUUGUAAUGUCUGAUACGGAGCUGUAUGGGAUGUUGCUCAAAUGCUGCACAGAUAAAUACUUAAAAUGGUUCAUUUGGCUAAUCAUUCAGGGCUUUCUGAAAAAUGUUUUCAAUCUGUGACUCAUAAUAAGUUCAAAAAUAUAUGAGUGAUGUAAAAUUCAGGGAUAACAGAUUUGUAAGUUUUUUGUUUAUUAAAUAUUUUUGUAAUUUGUAAUAUUCAGAGAUAACAGGUGUAAUACAAUGUGAUUUAAAUUUAAUUGGUAGACAUCCAUACAUGCUUUUAAACACCAAACUGCAUUAUCAUGAUGUACUUGUAAUAGGAGCCCAAAAAGGCUUGUAGUGUCUCAGUAGUUUUCACAGACAGCAAGAGUCCAAUUCAAAUGAUGUAAAAGUGGUAUUGAUUGAAAUCCAGUUGUUAAUUGUUGGUUGUGGAGGGUCUGUGACUAAGUUCAGAUUCCUUAAAUAUGACCUUUUUGAAAGAAGUUCUAAAAGGGUUAUUAAAAUCAUUUGAGGUGUAAUUAUUGACUGCAAAGGCACAUGAUGGAGAGCAGGUGUGGUGCUUAUAGAGUGAGGAUAGUCCUGAACCGUAUUGUGCAGAUAAUGCAGUUGUUUUUAGUGCAAUGUACAUAUUUGUUCGCUCUAGGCUUGUAGAGCAACACUUGUGUAAGUUCUUUCGUCUGCAUUCAUCUUAAGUUAUUUACUUUUUAUGGUUAACCUCAAACAGCAGAAGAUGCAAGCUGGUGCAGCUUGCGGUUCACUAUCCUGGCAUGUCACUAAUUUGUACUGGGAAUCUGUUACCGUCAUCUGUCAGAUGACAAAAACAGGAAAUUAUCCAACAUAUAAAAUUUUGAAGUGACCUCUCAAGACUCGAGCAGAAUUCUUCUCCAUAUUACGGUAGAUGAGUUUGCAAAUUUGCCAGUGCCUUUUAAUGGGAGAUAUUAAAAAAAGAAAUAUUGUAAAGUGCGUCUCCAUGUUAGAGAUAUGAAUGAAAAUCAACUUUAUUAACAGUGCAAAGUUUCAGCAAGAUUAAUCUUCUCGGACCAGGGUUUCAUGCAGACAUAGUAAUAAUAGUAAGUGUUUUUCACAUAUGUUAAAGCACCCAAGAAGGCACAAAUAUUUUUGAAUAUAGUCAUGUUUUAUUACCUUUAAAGUUUGUUUUGAUAAUGUUUUGUAGAAUAUGAGUUAUAAGUGGGAUUAAAUCUAGAGUUUCUUUUUUUUUUUUUUUUUGUUGCUUAGCAGGACAGCAUUUGGAUUGUAGAUUAUAGUGCAUUAGACUGGUAUGGUCCUGUUUUAUGAUACAAGCCCAACCCAAAUUUUUUGUAAGCUUUCAUAUGGUGUAUAAUUUAAGACCUGUUUGGCAUGAAUUACAAAAGGGGAAAAAAUGGAUUAUGCAUCUAGCUAGCUCCUCGCUUCAAGGCUGCAUGACUGUAGAUUUGAUAGCCUAAGAGGCCUUGCAUUUGAAGCGUAAUAUUUAUGAUAUAUUAACCUGAUAAUUCAAUAUGUGAUGCUUUCGGUGGGUAAGAUAUAUACGAAACAGAGUGGUAAAGGCAUAUUAAGCGUAAAGGUUGGGACUGAAAAAAGAUAUAUGAUCCCUUUUUUAAAAAAAAAAAAA
Polypterus senegalus (gray bichir) is the source of this 3020-nucleotide long non-coding RNA. RefSeq lists it as uncharacterized. The transcript is spliced from 2 exons. The record is from RefSeq and is a predicted model, not a curated record. NCBI's taxonomy places the organism in Eukaryota, Metazoa, Chordata, Cladistia, Polypteriformes, Polypteridae.